UUCAAAUUGGCCUAACUGUUGGGAGAUGAACUACGUAUCUAGGCUAUUUGACGUCACAAUAUUACAGAAAAUAAAAUCCGCGAAACGUUAUUAGGCUUAGGAGUUUAGAAGACCGUUUGAAAAAUACAACGAACGAAAGGACGGAUUUUCAGUUACCUAUAGUUGUGUGUUUUUUGCUGAAAGAUUAUACACAUGCACACGUAAAGUUUUCUCAAUCGAGGCAUCGAAAUAGUAGACAAGUCUAUAGGGCCUAGCAGAUUACGUACGAUGAUCAUGAUGAUUUGGUGUAACGUUUUUCAUGUUCUAAGACCCUCUCCCUACCAGGAUGGACAUCUAAGUAAAUUUGAAGCGAAAUCCCGUCCCUACUGUAUGAAUGUGACAGAGCACGCAAACGCUAGAAAAUUUUAGGAUUUACAACAAACCAGUAAUAUACAGAUGAAAGUGAAUAGUGAAACAAUCGAAAAAAGAAAACUCCGGUAAGAUUAUGUAUACACGGGUUAAAAACUACAAUAAAGACCAAAGGAAAAGAAAAUGAUAGAGGAUCGAGAAAACUCGUUAAUAUGACUUUAAAUGAAUAACUCAUAUGCAUGACUAAAUGUGCCACUAUAAUUCGUACUAUUGAUAUACUUUAGAAAAAUUUUCAGAUCAUUAUACAUGUAUCAAAUGAUAUUUGUUUUGUGUACAUCAGUUCUGGAAUUUUCAUUCAUUUUGGAAAUUCACCAAAUUCCCCGCAGUGAAAUGAUGCAAAAUUUUAAUCAAUUACGCCUUAGAACACUGAGUACUUUGUUGUCAUUUAACAGCCAAAAUCAUUUUUAUCCUGACAUCUUUUCAAUGUAUAAAAUGAAUUCACUUUUGUUAAAAAAAAAAGACCAACUUACACUCACUUUUUCUUAUGUCCACUACGCUCUAUGGUUUUAGAGUUACAUAUA
Molecule: long non-coding RNA, 929 nt
Organism: Saccostrea cuccullata (small rock oyster)
Lineage: Eukaryota; Metazoa; Mollusca; Bivalvia; Ostreida; Ostreidae
Exons: 3
Source: RefSeq, a predicted model, not a curated record